This 525-nucleotide ribosomal RNA is filed under the name uncultured bacterium. RNAcentral describes it as "partial 16S ribosomal RNA". It matches the Rfam family "Bacterial small subunit ribosomal RNA", at positions 355 to 874 of the family's 1533-position model. The record is from RNAcentral.
UGGGGAAUUUUGGACAAUGGGGGAAACCCUGAUCCAGCCAUCCCGCGUGUGCGAUGAAGGCCUUCGGGUUGUAAAGCACUUUUGGCAGGAAAGAAACGUCGCGGGUUAAUACCCCGCGAAACUGACGGUACCUGCAGAAUAAGCACCGGCUAACUACGUGCCAGCAGCCGCGGUAAUACGUAGGGUGCAAGCGUUAAUCGGAAUUACUGGGCGUAAAGCGUGCGCAGGCGGUUCGGAAAGAAAGAUGUGAAAUCCCAGAGCUUAACUUUGGAACUGCAUUUUAACUACCGGGCUAGAGUGUGUCAGAGGGAGGUGGAAUUCCGCGUGUAGCAGUGAAAUGCGUAGAUAUGCGGAGGAACACCGAUGGCGAAGGCAGCCUCCUGGGAUAACACUGACGCUCAUGCACGAAAGCGUGGGGAGCAAACAGGAUUAGAUACCCUGGUAGUCCACGCCCUAAACGAUGUCAACUAGCUGUUGGGGCCUUCGGGCCUUGGUAGCGUAGCUAACGCGUGAAGUUGACCGCCU